Molecule: ribosomal RNA, 268 nt
Filed under: uncultured bacterium
Lineage: Bacteria
Description: partial 16S ribosomal RNA
Rfam family: Bacterial small subunit ribosomal RNA
Source: RNAcentral
UGGCGACCGGCGCACGGGUGAGUAACGCGUAUCCAACCUGCCCUUUACUAUGGGACAGCCCGUCGAAAGGCGGAUUAAUACCGUAUGUUGUCAUGUUGAUGCAUAUUUUCAUGACCAAAGGCUUCGGCCGGUAAAGGAUGGGGAUGCGUCUGAUUAGCUUGCCGGCGGGGUAACGGCCCACCGGGGCGACGAUCAGUAGGGGGUUCUGAGAGGAAGGUCCCCCACGUUGGAACUGAGACACGGUCCAAACUCCUACGGAAGGCAGCAG